AUGCCUAAACAGUGUCUUAAAGUCAGCUCUAGAAGAAAAUGUCCAACAAGAGUGUAUUUGCCAGUUACUCAUCGCCAAAGUUACACACUUUUAGAUCUUAAAGAUCACCCACUGUGUCUACAUUUUACAGAUAAGAAAUCUGAUCCCCAGAUAAGUUAACUGACUUCUCCAAGGCAACACAAAGAACUAGGGCUAGAAUUUGGAUCUCUUUAGCUCCUAGUGUUCUUGAAUGACAGUACUAUACAAGGCAGAGACCACGGUGUUGGCAAUGUGAGUGCCCACUAACACCUGUCAUCUAUUCUUCCUCCAGCCUCCUCCGGGGGCAAGAAUAGAGGAAUCCCAAAGGAAAAGCUCAGUGGCUGUUGGUGGUGGCAUAAGGAACUACAGAAGGUAAGAAUACAGGUGAGUGUACACGGGCCGAGGACUGAUGAGUGUCUGGGAGGUGACAAAAAGUCAACGACCUAACAAACACUAUCACUUCUUUUUGUUCUACACAAUUAUAAAGAAGAUAUUUAUUUUUUCUUCUACCCCAAUUUUUACACAUAAAGAAUGGAAAAAACAAAAAUCAAUUUAAAAGGUUAAGUUCUGAAUCAACUCUUUCAGAAAGACUCCCAUGUACAUAUUUUAAAUAGAUUCCUAUCUCUUAUUUGACAAGAGAAACAAAUACUGAAUUAAAUUCUUCAUGGAUCCUUUUUCAGAAAAUCCUAAGAAGCAGUGAUUUAAGCAUCCCAAGGCACUGGUGACAGGCCCAGGGGGUAAAUGCCUGAACCCGAGUUCUAUCUCUAGGAUUCAAGGGGAAGAAGACAAGAACUGACUUCUGCAAGUUGCCCCAACGUGUUGUGCAUCACGGCACACAUGUGCCCCAAUACAAAGAUGUACACCGACCAAGUAUUUAGUGGGAAAAAGGACACGGGACACAUACGCAAAUCACUGUGCACAGCCUGGGACUAGAGAAGGUGUCCUGGAGACUACGCGAAUGCAAUGAUGACCGUGAUUUAAGCAGGCAGACACGACGGUGGCAGCGUGUUAGAAAAUCAGGUGGCUACAGACAGCACGACAACCAAGUCUGAGAAGACAAGCUGUGCGGAAACAAGCCGGGGAGCAAGGGAAAUGGUGCUGCCUGUAAUCCCUGAUGUUCAGGAGGUCUAGGAAACAGGCUCUCAAAACAAGGGGAGAAAAGGAAGAGGAAAAAUUACAGACCUCAAGGACACCUUGUCUUCCCAAGGUAAGGACAUUAUCAGAUGAGAAAUAUGGAUGGGACAAACUGGUUUCCAAACUAGCUACAAGCAGCUGUUGUGAACCUCAGAGACUACUAGACAGCGAGAGCUCCUCAGGACCAUUUCCCAGGGUAAACUGUAUUCUCCCUCAACCUAAAUUUCUAGCGGAGAUUACUGGGACCCAUUCACAAGAUGAUAUAGGUCUCAAACCUUAUAAAUACGCUAAUUUUCUCUUCUUAAAUUGUAUAUAGUAAGUUGUGUAAACUGUAUUUCCAAAAUAUCCCAAGUCUGCCUACUUG
Peromyscus leucopus (white-footed mouse) is the source of this 1516-nucleotide long non-coding RNA. RefSeq lists it as uncharacterized. The record is from RefSeq and is a predicted model, not a curated record. Lineage: Eukaryota; Metazoa; Chordata; Mammalia; Rodentia; Cricetidae. The transcript is spliced from 3 exons.